GAUCUUUUGAGAGGGUUCCAG
This 21-nucleotide microRNA is filed under the name Arabidopsis thaliana (thale cress). RNAcentral describes it as "ath-miR2938". Lineage: Eukaryota; Viridiplantae; Streptophyta; Magnoliopsida; Brassicales; Brassicaceae. The record is from miRBase by way of RNAcentral.